RNAcentral lists this ribosomal RNA (450 nucleotides) under uncultured bacterium. RNAcentral describes it as "bacterial SSU rRNA". It matches the Rfam family "Bacterial small subunit ribosomal RNA", at positions 29 to 526 of the family's 1533-position model. The record is from RNAcentral.
AACGAACGCUGGCGGCAGGCUUAACACAUGCAAGUCGAACGCACCGCAAGGAGAGUGGCAGACGGGUGAGUAACGCGUGGGAACCUACCCCUUGGUACGGGAUAGCUCCGGGAAACUGGAGAUAAUACCGUAUGUGCCCUGAGGGGCAAAGAUUCAUCGCCAAAGGAUGGGCCCGCGUCGGAUUAGCUAGUUGGUGGGGUAACGGCCUACCAAGGCGACGAUCCGUAGCUGGUCUAAGAGGAUGAUCAGCCACAUUGGGACUGAGACACGGCCCAAACUCCUACGGGAGGCAGCAGUGGGGAAUAUUGGACAAUGGGCGCAAGCCUGAUCCAGCCAUGCCGCGUGAGUGAUGAAGGCCCUAGGGUUGUAAAGCUCUUUCACCGGGGACGAUAAUGACGGUACCCGGAGAAGAAGCCCCGGCUAACUUCGUGCCAGCAGCCGCCGUAACAC